UGUAACGUAAGUCCCACUCGUCGACAGA
This 28-nucleotide non-coding RNA is filed under the name Bombyx mori (domestic silkworm). Lineage: Eukaryota; Metazoa; Arthropoda; Insecta; Lepidoptera; Bombycidae. The record is from RNAcentral.